UCGAGGGGCAGCACAGGUAGCAAUACUAGGUGGCGACCGGCGCACGGGUGAGUAACGCGUAUGCAACCUACCCUGUACAGGGGGAUAGCCCGGAGAAAUUCGGAUUAAUACCCCAUUGUGAUACUGAGAGGCAUCUCUUGGGUUCUAAAGAUUUAUCGGUACAGGUUGGGCAUGCGUGCCAUUAGGUAGUUGGUAAGGUAACGGCUUACCAAGCCAUCGAUGGCUACGGGGUCUAAAAGGAUGGUCCCGCACACUGGUAUUGAGACACGGACCAGACUCC
Molecule: ribosomal RNA, 280 nt
Filed under: unidentified marine bacterioplankton
Lineage: Bacteria
Description: partial 16S ribosomal RNA
Rfam family: Bacterial small subunit ribosomal RNA
Source: RNAcentral